UGAGAGGAAGCCUGGUUCUCCCUGGAUCCCCCUGCCUGGAACUGCUCUGCCCUGGGAGGAAUGGGGCAGCACUCUGCCCUCUUUUGCCACAGGGGUGUGUGACCAUGCUGCUGACCUUGCUGUCUCUCUUUACACCUUCCAGUGUAAGGCAGAGCUGAUCAGUCCCAGCACCACCAGCCAGGCAGCAUCAUCCCUCAGCUCCCUGGCUCCUGAAAGAGCAGCCAGUCAGGCAGGCUGGAACAGGAGCUCCCCAGUCUCUCUGGAAUGGAGAGACAGCCAACUAGCACUGUGUUGACUGAAGGUUGACCAGGUCACUGUCUCAGCUUCUGGACAGCAGCACAAGCAAGCAUUUGACUGCUUGACACCAGAGCUCUACAGGUGGCUGUCAAGCUUCCUGGGAAAGACAGAUUCAGAGGAUAUCAAGCAGAGACACCAGCUGUUAGAAGAAGAAAAGGAAUCCAGACGCAAGUAGAAAUCUACUGUGCUGAGUGCUGUGCAGACAGCUAGAGACAGUCCCUGUCCCAAGCAGCAGGAGAAACAGCAUCAAGCUUCUAAAAGAUCCAGUGCAACUUCACAGUGAAGCAAGGACACAACAGACAGCAACUCUCCACGAAGCAAGAAAUGUGAUAGCUGUAUUCACAUACUGCAGAUGCAGUGAAAUGAAUCUAGGUCACUAUCGCCUAAUAAGAACCUAAUAUUUGUAAAGUACUGAGUACUUUACAACAUCACUUGAUGUUUUGGAGUCCAGUGCCUACUGCUUCUUGCAAUGCAGCUGUAGUAAUAAGGAGUAAGUUGAGUCAGUGAUGCUGUUCAAAUCAGAAUAGGAAAGAGGAUAACCUUGCUAAUAAAAUGGUAUGCAAAAAUU
Molecule: long non-coding RNA, 865 nt
Organism: Parus major (Great Tit)
Lineage: Eukaryota; Metazoa; Chordata; Aves; Passeriformes; Paridae
Exons: 5
Source: RefSeq, a predicted model, not a curated record